UUGCCCCACGGCGCCGCCUCCACGUGGCGGGGGUGGUAACUCACCAAAUGGUGAGGCGAAGAGCGCC
RNAcentral lists this non-coding RNA (67 nucleotides) under unclassified sequences. The record is from RNAcentral.